AGGUGGGGAGGUAGCGGUUCCCUGUACUCGAAAUCCGCUUUAUGCGAGACUUAAUUCCUUUGUUGAGGACGUAUUUUUGUGAAGUCUGCCCGAAGCACGUAGUGUUUGAAGAUUUCGGUCCUAUGCAAUAUGAACCCAUGAACCAUGUCAGGUCCUGACGGAAGCAGCAUUAAGUGGAUCCUCAUAUGUGCCGUAGGGUAGCCGAGAUUUAGCUGUCGACUUCGGUAACGUUUAUGAUAUGCGUUCGAUACAAAGGUGCAUGG
RNAcentral lists this signal recognition particle RNA (263 nucleotides) under Staphylococcus epidermidis. RNAcentral describes it as "partial signal recognition particle sRNA large type". It matches the Rfam family "Bacterial large signal recognition particle RNA". Rfam says of the family: The signal recognition particle (SRP) is a universally conserved ribonucleoprotein involved in the co-translational targeting of proteins to membranes. Lineage: Bacteria; Bacillati; Bacillota; Bacilli; Caryophanales; Staphylococcaceae. The record is from RNAcentral.